This 170-nucleotide ribosomal RNA is filed under the name uncultured bacterium. RNAcentral describes it as "partial 16S ribosomal RNA". It matches the Rfam family "Bacterial small subunit ribosomal RNA", at positions 1323 to 1500 of the family's 1533-position model. The record is from RNAcentral.
AAGUUGGAUUCGCUAGUAAUCGCGCAUCAGCCAUGGCGCGGUGAAUACGUUCCCGGGCCUUGUACACACCGCCCGUCAAGCCAUGGAAGCCGGGAGUGCCUGAAGUGCGUGAGCGCAAGCAGCGCCCUAAGGUAAAACCGGUGACUGGGGCUAAGUCGUAACAAGGUACC